Small nuclear RNA from Suncus etruscus (white-toothed pygmy shrew), 107 nucleotides. The record is from RefSeq and is a predicted model, not a curated record. NCBI's taxonomy places the organism in Eukaryota, Metazoa, Chordata, Mammalia, Eulipotyphla, Soricidae.
GUGCUCACUUUGGCAGUAUGCACACUAAAAUUGGAACGAUAUAGAGAAGAUUAGCGUGGCCCCUGUGCAAGGAUGACAUGCAAAUAGAAUGUUCAUUGUAUGUUUGU